This 253-nucleotide ribosomal RNA is filed under the name uncultured bacterium. Its description in RNAcentral is "partial 16S ribosomal RNA". It matches the Rfam family "Bacterial small subunit ribosomal RNA", at positions 524 to 776 of the family's 1533-position model. The record is from RNAcentral.
UACGUAGGGUGCGAGCGUUAAUCGGAAUUAUUGGGCGUAAAGCGUCCGUAGAUGGUUUUGUCAGUCUGCUGUCAAAGCACAGGGCUUAACCCUGUAAAGGCAGUGGAAACUACAAGACUAGAGUGCAGUAGGGGCAGAGGGAAUUCCCAGUGUAGCGGUGAAAUGCGUAGAGAUUGGGAAGAACAUCCGUGGCGAAAGCGCUCUGCUGGACUGCAACUGACAUUGAGGGACGAAAGCUAGGGGAGCGAAUGGG